GGGAAAGCCACUUAAAUGGUGGUUUAACACUAUAGGGUCAGGAACACGUUUGUGUUCCUUUAAAAAUCUGUGCAGACGGACAAAAAAAUCUCUUCAGACAGAGAAUUCCACAUAUUUAUUUUCAUACUGUAAAGAGCUCUUUUCUUUGCCUUGGACUGAAUCUCCUUUCUUCCAGUCUAAAUUGGUAAACAUUUGUCCUAUGUAUAGUUCUAUUUAUGUAUGUAUGUAGACAAUGGUUUAUAUUGCCCACAAAUAUAUUUGUAUAAUGGUAUCACCUCC
This is a non-coding RNA of Pelobates cultripes (western spadefoot toad), 279 nucleotides long. The record is from the annotation of a GenBank genome assembly. NCBI's taxonomy places the organism in Eukaryota, Metazoa, Chordata, Amphibia, Anura, Pelobatidae.